RNAcentral lists this ribosomal RNA (325 nucleotides) under uncultured eukaryote. RNAcentral's name for it is "partial 18S ribosomal RNA". It matches the Rfam family "Eukaryotic small subunit ribosomal RNA", at positions 1470 to 1796 of the family's 1831-position model. The record is from RNAcentral.
CCCUUAGAUGUUCUGGGCUGCACGCGCGCUACACUGAUGCAUUCAACGAGCCUAUCCUUGACCGACAGGUCCGGGUAAUCUUUGAAUCUGCAUCGUGACGGGGAUAGAUUAUUGCAAUUAUUAAUCUUCAACGAGGAAUGCCUAGUAGGCGCAAGUCAUCAGCUUGCGUCGAUUACGUCCCUGCCCUUUGUACACACCGCCCGUCGCUCCUACCGAUUGGGUGUGCUGGUGAAAUGUUCGGAUCGGCCGUUUGUCGCGGUUUCCGCGUCAUGUGGCUGAGAAGUUCAUUAAACCCGCCCACCUAGAGGAAGGAGAAGUCGUAACA